AUCCCCGACGCGGUCAUUCCCGGGGACACGGAGGGUCAGAAAGACGGCCGAUGUCACAGGGGUGGCUGUGACGGAACUCGAGCCCCGGUCUUUGAAAGCCCCUGGCCUCUGCCUGGCACCCCACUUUGCUGUGUCUCUCUCCUCUCCUGACACCCUGUGACAGCCUUGCCGAGAGCCGAGGUCCCCACAGCUGACCGGGAGAGCCCCAGGAGGCAGGUCCAGUUCCCCCCUGUUGUAGACACGCGGGAGCCGAGGCCACACAGCCAGGAGGAAGGAAACUGACACCACACCAAGUGACCAGAGAUGCUGGGAAUCCCCUAAUUCCUCUCCUUUACUGAGAUAACAGACAGAGCAGAACAAAAGAAUGAUCACUCUGAGCACCCGAGAGCGGAGAAGCUAGGAAUGCCCUUGCCAGCCCCUGCAUCCUGGAGAAUCUGGUCCAGGACUGUCUGAGUUACCUUCAGGGACCUGCCUGGGAACAUAAAUGAGUGAGCUGGGUUGAGCAGGGGCUACUGUGGUUUAUUUCAUAAGGGCAUUUAUGUUAUAUUAUUUUGACUUAAACACUCUUGGCAUAUUAAACACUUAGGAAGACUUUUCACUUCCGCAAAGAAACAUAGUCUUUCACGUAUUUCUGGAAGUACAUGAAUUAUAC
Molecule: long non-coding RNA, 652 nt
Filed under: Homo sapiens (human)
Lineage: Eukaryota; Metazoa; Chordata; Mammalia; Primates; Hominidae
Description: HSALNT0290379
Source: RNAcentral